UACGUAGGGGGCAAGCGUUAUCCGGAUUUACUGGGUGUAAAGGGAGCGUAGACGGCAGUGCAAGUCUGGAGUGAAAGACGGGGGCUCAACCCCCGGACUGCUCUGGAAACUGUACGGCUGGAGUGCAGGAGAGGUAAGUGGAAUUCCUAGUGUAGCGGUGAAAUGCGUAGAUAUUAGGAGGAACACCAGUGGCGAAGGCGGCUUACUGGACUGUAACUGACGUUGAGGCUCGAAAGCGUGGGGAGCAAACAGG
RNAcentral lists this ribosomal RNA (253 nucleotides) under uncultured bacterium. RNAcentral describes it as "partial 16S ribosomal RNA". It matches the Rfam family "Bacterial small subunit ribosomal RNA", at positions 524 to 776 of the family's 1533-position model. The record is from RNAcentral.